RNAcentral lists this ribosomal RNA (498 nucleotides) under Microserica affinis. Its description in RNAcentral is "partial 16S large subunit ribosomal RNA". Lineage: Eukaryota; Metazoa; Arthropoda; Insecta; Coleoptera; Scarabaeidae. The record is from RNAcentral.
UUUAAGGUCUAAUCCUGCCCUAUGAGGUUUUAAAUGGCCGCGGUAUUUUGACCGUGCAAAGGUAGCAUAAUAAUUAGUUUUUUAAUUGAAAGCUGGAAUGAAUGAUUGGACGAGAAAAUUACUGUCUCAAGUUGAUUUUAUUAGAGUUUUAUUUUUAAGUAAAAAAGCUUAAAUUUCAUUAAAAGACGAGAAGACCCUAUAGAGUUUUAUAAAAUUAUAUUUAUAGUCUUUGAGGAAUUUUUUUUUGUUUAUAUUUAUAAUUUUAUUUUAUUGGGGUGAUAGUAAAAUUUAAUAAACUUUUUUUUUAUAAAUUCAUUAAUAUAUGUUUAUUUGAUCCAUUAUUUAUGAUUAUAAGAUUAAAUUACCUUAGGGAUAACAGCGUAAUUUUUUUUUAGAGUUCUUAUUCAAAGAAAAAAUUGGCACCCCCAUGUUGGAUUAAAAUUAAUUUUUGGGGGCGGGGCUUAUAAAGUGGGGCUGUUCCACCCUUAAAAAUUUACC